CCAGACUCCUACGGGAGGCAGCAGUGGGGAAUAUUGGGCAAUGGGCGCAAGCCUGACCCAGCAACGCCGCGUGAAGGAAGAAGGCUUUCGGGUUGUAAACUUCUUUUCUCAGGGACGAAGAAAGUGACGGUACCUGAGGAAUAAGCCACGGCUAACUACGUGCCAGCAGCCGCGGUAAUACGUAGGUGGCAAGCGUUAUCCGGAUUUAUUGGGUGUAAAGGGCGUGUAGGCGGGAGCGCAAGUCAGAUGUGAAAACUCAGGGCUCAACCCUGAGCCUGCAUUUGAAACUGUGUUUCUUGAGUGCUGGAGAGGCAAUCGGAAUUCCGUGUGUAGCGGUGAAAUGCGUAGAUAUCAGGAGGAACACCGGCGGCGAAGGCGGCCUGCUGGACCGCGACUGACGUUGAGGCUCGAAAGCGUGGGGAGCGAACAGGAUUAGAUACCCGUGUAU
Molecule: ribosomal RNA, 448 nt
Filed under: uncultured bacterium
Lineage: Bacteria
Description: bacterial SSU rRNA
Rfam family: Bacterial small subunit ribosomal RNA
Source: RNAcentral